This is an RNA transcript of Dermochelys coriacea (leatherback sea turtle), 6056 nucleotides long. It is a transcript of the gene named SEC22 homolog C, vesicle trafficking protein, with no coding region annotated. NCBI's taxonomy places the organism in Eukaryota, Metazoa, Chordata, Testudines, Dermochelyidae. The transcript is spliced from 10 exons. The record is from RefSeq and is a predicted model, not a curated record.
UGCUCUCCCCCCGUUCCCGGCGUGCUCCGGGGUGGGGGUGGCCUCUCUAGCCGCCGUCGCGGGCGGGCGGGUUUGUUGUUGUGGGGCCGCCUCCUGGGGGCUGUGACAGGGCCCGCGGUGGGGAAGGAGCUGGGGCUUUAAGGAAAACAAUAAUUAUCAUGAGACUCAUGACAAAAUCCUGAGAGUUGGCAACACUGCUGAGUGGAUGUGCACGGAGGAGAUGCCCUUGUUGGCAGCUCACUGCUGGAGAAACGCCUGGUUAUGGAAGGGCAAUGUGUUGGGCACUAGAUCUUGUCUAUAUUAUAAAAUUGGAUAGUCAAUUAUCUUUUUGUCAAAGUCCAGACUCCAGAAAAAAUAAUAAUAAAACAGUUGUCCUCAUGAAUACUCUUGUGGAGGAUGUCCAUGAUCCUCUUUGCUUGUGUGGUGAGAGUGAGGGACGGACUUCCACUUUCAGCCUCCACGGAUUUUCAUCUCAACCAGGACUUUCUGGAAUGCAGGAAGAGACUAAAGGCAUUAUCCUUAAUUCUGGCACAAUAUCCUGAUCGAGGCACAGCAACAGGACGUGGCUUCAGCAUACAUUUUCAUUCUUCUGGGGACAUCGCCUGCAUGGGGAUCUGCACCAGCUGUUGCCCAACAGUCAUGGCAUUUUGUUUCCUGGAGGAGCUCCAGUGGAAAUUUUCUGCUUCAUAUAACUCUACGAGCAUAAGCUUGGCUACCAGACCCUAUGCUUUUCUUGAAUUUGAUAAUAUUAUUCAGAAAGUGAAAUACCAUUUCAACUACACAAGCUGCUCUCAAAUGAAGAACCGCCUGGAGAAAAUUCAGGAAGCGCUGAAGUUCCAUCCUCCUGUGCUUCUGAAACUAGAGGAUAUGAAUGGGAUGAUUAAUGGGCACACAGAAGUGCACAUGGGGUCUGCCCCUACCUAUAGAAUGCAACCUGUGACUCCUUUGGGGAUUCUGUCUCUUGUUCUCAACAUCAUGUGUGGGGCUUUGAACCUCAUUCGAGGAGUUCAUCUAGCAGAGUAUUCUUUUCAGGAAGACCACGAGGGAACUGGAAAUGUAAUAGCAUUUCUUCUUUCUUUUCUAGCCUGCAUUUUUCAGUGUUAUUUGUACUUGUUCCAUGGUUCAUCAAGGAAGAUGAAGGCAUUUGUACUGUUUUUCUCCAUUUGUCUAUGCAACAUUUACUUGUAUGGAUUAAGAAACAUCUGGCAAAUAUUCUUUCACAUAGGAGUGGCUUCUCUUUCUUCAUAUCAGAUACUGACAAGGCAACCGAUGGAGAAACAGCCUGAUAUUGGAGUAUGAAAACACACAUGGGAUUCAUCACUCGUAUUUUAAAAAACUUUUAUUUCCUUACACUAGCCAAAAAUACUUUGGGGUAUAUUUUAAAACUGUACAACGAUGGUUAUCACCAAGGAGAGAUUUUGAAACUAAACAACUCGAAAUAAACUGUGCUCUUCUAAUUAGUGUCAAAUGGAUAUUCAGGGGAUUAGUUGUACUUCAACUGUGCAUUGCAGACUGUUUGCAAGCAUUCAUAAUGGAGGUUCUCACUGCCAUUGAGAAUCUUCAGUACUCAGUCUUUUCAUGUACUCCUUGAUUAAUACCAAACAGUCAGUCUCUCUUCAUUUCUCAUUUGCUUUGCAACAGUUCACUGUUUCAGUGUGUUGCCCUGGGAGUUUGACAGAAAACAUUGAAAUUGUACUUUAAAACCAAGACUGAUUAAAAUUGUGGAUAAUAGCGCUUAGCACUUUCAUCUAUAGAUCCUAAGUUGCUUGACAGAUGUAAGCUAAGGAGGCGUUUGCCAUAAUUAAUCAGUAAUUGGUGGAAAAAUGCUUUUAGUGGGAUUUUCAGAGUAAUCCUACUAAGGUGAAAUAGAAUGAUAGGGGUCUGAAGAAAAGGGCAGGGGCCCUUUUAAAAACCAUAAAGGAUGUAAAAUGUCUCUUGAGUAAACUGUACAUCUUAAUGGUUGGUAUGGUGUGAGCUUAUUGGGAAAUUGUCAGUAAGUUUUUGAAGCUGCAUAAACCAAACCAAAAAAACACACAACUGACCUUUCAGCCCAAGUGGCCUUUAUUUCCCUGUUGAAGAUCACAUUUUUUGAAAGGGUAAUUAUAUGUUUGUUUGGUUUAUACAGAUAAAUAAGUUUGGAAGAUUGUAUUUUGUGAUAACCCAAUGAGUUUUUCCACCUUUCAAAAGAUACAUUAUUAGCGAUUAGAAAUCCAUUCCCCAUCCUGGAAAGCAGGAGUAGGUUCUCUUUAUUUUAUAUUUAAGCUCUCAUGCUAAGGUUAACUUAUGAGCAUGCACUUUUGAAUAUAGUCAUUAGGAGCUGAAUUUCUCCACCUCUGCUGCAGUGUAUAUUCUGGUAUUUAACGUGCUGAAGUAUACACUGACAUUUUAAAAUGUAUCUGAACACUUUUUUGAUAAGUUUUCUCUGUAUAAAGAAUGUCUAAUGUUUUGACACAGCUGUCUUUUGGAGGGUUGGUUAGAGAAUCAUGAAACUGAGAAAUUACAGGAAGCUUGUAGUUGUAAUACUGUAGAGGUAACCUCUUAAUUUUUUCUCACUUAACAGUUAUAUGGUAGCCCCAUGUAUUAUGUAGAAUUUCAUCCCCUUGCUGAGGAAUUGUUCUUUCACUUAAUGUCUCUACCUUUCAUAUUUGCAAAGAGAUUAAAUUGAUGGAGAGUUACCUUCCUGACUCUGUAGGUAGCUUGUUAGUCAAUAUUAUCUAUUUCACUACUGACUAUUAUAGCAGAAACAUCCAGCUAAUAUUUUAAACCAGACCCACCCAUUGUGUGCUAAAAGCCCUAACAACUGAUUAUCCAGCUGCCGAAACCUCCAGCUUCCUCUGACAACUUGUGCAAUGCAACUCUGUGCAGCCAAUGCAUACAUCUGUGCAUAAAGAUUUAAGUGACUGGAUAUUGCAUUUAUGUCUGCUGUUCUAAUAGUACAGCCUUUACUGUACCUAGUCCCAUGCACUGCUACAGUGAAAUAGAAGUAUCGGGGGUAGCUGUGUUAGUCUGUAUCCACAAAAACAAGUGGUACCUUAAAGACGAACAGAUUUAUUUGCCACCGGACUCCUUGUUGUUUUAGUGAAAUAGAAGAAUCUUUUGCUAUGCUUUUGGGACAUGGAAAGGCACUGUGUAGGAAAGGAAAGUGAGCUGAAAUUACAAGAGUAAAUAAACUGUAAAAAGGGAAAAAUAUAUCAGAAGGAAAGGGAUAAAAUGAAACAUCAGAAACAGUGGUGGGGAGAAACCUAGAGACCAGUGGAAACUUUAGCUUGAUAGGAGACAGUAAAUUGGAUGUGAAAUUGCAAGAUGAUUGCUAUGGUUGUAGCCUGCAUGGAGUGAGGCAUGUCUGAGAGCAGGGAAGGAUCAUAAUCCUUUAUGCAGCUCGGAUGCAAGCACUCCUAGAAUUAUUUCAUGCAGUUCCAGGUAUCGGUACCAAAGACAGACAUGCUGAAGGGUGUCCACAGAAGACUGUCCAGGUACUGAUAUUUGAAGAGAAGAGAGAGUCACUGCUUAGCAUAGAAACUAAAGGGGUCAACUUUUCUUGAUGUUUGUCCUUCAGAUAUCGGGUCAGAUGAGAAAGAAGUUAGGGCACAAGGAGGCACAACUAAGCCUAAGAAUGAAACUGAAAAGGAACAUUUCGGUUGACUGUCAGGGAAAACUGCUUGAUACUAAGGGCUUGUCUGCACUACCGCAUGGGGUUGAUCCAAGAUACACAACUUCAGCUACAUGAAUAGCGUAGCUGAAGUAGACUUACUUAGAUCUACUUACCACGGUGUCUUCACUGCAGUAAGUCGACAGCUGACGCUCUCCCGUCAAUUCUGCUUGCGCUCCUCGUUCUGGUGAAGUACCGGAGUCAACAGGAGAGCGCUCAACGGUCAAUUUAUCGCAUCUAUACUAGACCGAUAAAUCAACCCCCGCUGGAUCGAUCGCUGCCCACCGAUCCAGUGGAUAGUGUAGACAAGCCCUAAGAUCUAUUAAACUGUGUGGAAUAGGCUAAGGUAGCUGUUCCCAGACUUCAUGAUUAACAUAACACUUGCUUAAAAAUUUGAUGUUUGAAGUACCACUUGCAAAUUUUUCCUUUUUUAUUUUAGGACUUAACUGGUUUUUAAUAUUUCUGAACUCGUAGUAAAAUAAAUGCGUAAGGAAACCAGAAAUUAUAACCUCCUUUUUUAAACAUUUCAAGUUCUUUAUCAGUGUAUCAAAAAGCACAAUGAAAAAGCAAUUGUUGAUCUGUUUUGUAUUACUCAAAUUACAAGGAACAAUUAAAUGUCAAGUGACAGGUUGACGUAUCUCUAUAUGCUGCUAAGCUAUGUCAAGGCCUUGACUUUUUAAUAUAUCAAUUCAAAGUUCCUCCUCAUUCUUAUCUGGACUAUUGAAGAACAUGGGCCAAAGUUCUUUACUUACAUUUUGACAAUAUUUAAAUUAAGUGCCAAUCAAAAUGUUUUGCAUUUUCUCUGAUAAAAAUAUAAAAGUACCAUUAAUGAGAAGGGUGUUCUUGCUUCACAUAUCAGGGUUGCUUUGUGUCAGGUAAGAUUUUGCUGAGCUUCAGCUGAAGGUCUGGUCCUGCAGACCUAAGUUUCAUCUUGUAUUUUUUUUUUUUUUUAAUACUGAUCAGGGCAGAAAUCCAGUUCUGUCAGGGAAACCUUUCUUAACAUUCAGCCUAGUAGCACUUGUAACAUGUUCUAUCCAUAUGAAUGGAGGUCUCCUUAGAAAAUAAGGCAUGAAGAUGAUUAAGAGUAAACUUUUUUUUUUAAUAAUCCAUUUUCUAAAUUUCCAUACUAGGGUCUGCCUUGCUGAUGUUACAGGACAUGGUGCUCAUACCUCUGGCUAGUCUUAACCAGGUGACAAUGCAUUGACUUAAAUAGGGAAAGCUGUUUCUGCUAGGAAAAGGGGUAGGAGAUUUACUUUGUACAUGGACAAAACAUUGUGGGGAAUAACCUUAAUGACGGGAUCUGAUUUCUACAUCUCCCGUGGACCCUGAUCCUGGUAGUGUUGACUUGUCUCCACUAAAUGUAUUUGAGUAAAGCUAGUCUUGCAUAGACUUGGGCACCUAGAACACUUAGGUAUGUCAACACUACUGUCUGGAGAUGUGAAUUCCAGCUCAAAGAGAACAUACCUGCACUAGUUUUCAUUCAGCUGGCGUGCGUAGCCAUGGUGUUACAAGUGGUGGGAGGGCCAACUGCCUUGAGUACAUAUGGUCCAAAAUGCUAGGUUUAAGCAUAAUGAAAUGAAUCGCUGGAUUUGCCUACUGGAAGGAUCAUCCAACCCAAGAAUCUUUAGGAAAACAAUACAGCAAAAUCUCUAAAUACAACGUUCUGCUUUCCCAGUGGACCCUAUGUCUGAUGAAUGGACAAACACCUAGUAGCAAUUUGUUACAAAGGAAGUAGAAGUGGCAGGGAACCAUUCACAGGGAGAUUUGGUUCUAUAAUGUGGACAAGCCUGCCUACAAAAUCCAUGUUGGGGAACAUACAUUUAGCAAUGUGUGUCCAUUAAUAGCUGAACACUUCUUCCAGCUUUGGUUGUGAUUCAGGGACCAAGGAGAAGUCAAGUUAAGCAUUGACUGUCCUAAUUUUUUUUUCUGUAAAUGUUUACACUGGCUUCGUGGUAUGUUAAUUCUGUGCACUGUGUGUGUAUAAUAUAUGUUUAAACUUUCUUUUGCUAAAACAGGAAAAGAGAUAACAUGGUUUACAUUUGAGUCCUUCAAGAUUUAAUAAAAUGAGCGUUUUACUGUUUGAGAACAGAAAAUCUGGAUCAGAAUACUAGGAUUGUGCUUGUAUUGAAUCAAAUCUUUAAAAGGAAUCAAAUUUUUGUCAGAACCGUGGACCAUUUGAAAUAAUUUGAUUAUUUAUCCACUUAAUUCUCAUUUUCAAUUUUCACAUUUAAGUCUCUUGGAAACUCUGUUGUUCAUCGAGAAACACAACACAAGAAAAUAGGCCAAGAGUAAACCUUCCUUCCAGUUAAAAUAUUUAGAAUGCUUUGCCAACUUAUGAAAUAUUGAUCCUGCCUUUUUUAACCAAAGAUCAGUUAAGGUUUCUUGAAAGGCUGGCUGGUACCUUUUU